This 21-nucleotide non-coding RNA is filed under the name Arabidopsis thaliana (thale cress). Lineage: Eukaryota; Viridiplantae; Streptophyta; Magnoliopsida; Brassicales; Brassicaceae. The record is from RNAcentral.
UUGUCAAUGGUUAAUUUUGGG